RNAcentral lists this ribosomal RNA (253 nucleotides) under uncultured bacterium. RNAcentral describes it as "partial 16S ribosomal RNA". It matches the Rfam family "Bacterial small subunit ribosomal RNA", at positions 524 to 776 of the family's 1533-position model. The record is from RNAcentral.
UACGGAGGGGGCGAGCGUUAUUCGGAAUUAUUGGGCGUAAAGGGCGCGUAGGCGGCUGUACAAGUCAAAGGUGAAAUCCCUCGGCUCAACUGAGGAACUGCCUUUGAAACUGUACGGCUUGAGGCCGGGAGGGGGUAGCGGAAUUCCCAGUGUAGCGGUGAAAUGCGUAGAUACUGGGAGGAACACCAGUGGCGAAGGCGGCUACCUGGACCGGUUCUGACGCUGAGGCGCGAAAGCGUGGGGAGCGAACAGG